RNAcentral lists this long non-coding RNA (505 nucleotides) under Ananas comosus (pineapple). Its description in RNAcentral is "long non-coding RNA (ACOM_LNC012675)". Lineage: Eukaryota; Viridiplantae; Streptophyta; Magnoliopsida; Poales; Bromeliaceae. The record is from RNAcentral.
UGCUUCCUCCGCUGCCGCCGCCACCGUCGCUGCUCCUCUUAGUGCCCGUCGGGAUGGUGCUGCUGCUCGCCUUUCUCGCUUUCGCCCCCUCUCACAACACCUUCGGAAACGCAAACUUUCCGCAAUGAAACAAAACAUCCAUCGGUACGUAUCUCGCGACCGCAAACACCUCUCAUUUGUCUCUUUUCCUCUUUCACCUUUACUUCCAGAAGCAUUAAAGGAAAGGAGAGGAAAGAUGAUAAAAAUGGAAAGCGACUAAAAGACAGAUUCCUUCUUAUCACUUACUGAUUAUUUGUUGGUUCUUCUACAUCAAAUACUAUUUCCAUCAAUGUUGUAUUUGAUUCUUCCCCUCAUAGGAUGAGUGAAUUAUUUUCUGGGAAGAGGCCUUAGGGAGAACUUUUGCUCUGCCCACGGCCAAAGAUCAAACACAAAUUUACAUGUGAAGAGGAAAUAAAUGGGAGAAGGGAACAAAAAGGGAGGCGCCCGUCGGAAGCAGGAUGAAAUA